AGCAGCCGCCGCGGUAAUACGGAGGGUGCAAGCGUUAAUCGGAAUUACUGGGCGUAAAGCGCACGCAGGCGGUUUGUUAAGUCAGAUGUGAAAUCCCCGAGCUUAACUUGGGAACUGCACUUGAAACUGGCAAGCUAGAGUCUUGUAGAGGGGGGUAGAAUUCCAGGUGUAGCGGUGAAAUGCGUAGAGAUCUGGAGGAAUACCGGUGGCGAAGGCGGCCCACUGGACAAAGACUGACGCUCAGGUGCGAAAGCGUGGGGAGCAAACAGGAUUAGAUACCCGCGUAGUCCCUGUCUCUUAUAC
Molecule: ribosomal RNA, 303 nt
Filed under: uncultured bacterium
Lineage: Bacteria
Description: partial 16S ribosomal RNA
Rfam family: Bacterial small subunit ribosomal RNA
Source: RNAcentral